RNAcentral lists this unclassified non-coding RNA (496 nucleotides) under uncultured Paraglomus. RNAcentral describes it as "SSU rRNA". It matches the Rfam family "Eukaryotic small subunit ribosomal RNA", at positions 591 to 1092 of the family's 1831-position model. Lineage: Eukaryota; Fungi; Glomeromycota; Glomeromycetes; Paraglomerales; Paraglomeraceae. The record is from RNAcentral.
CCAAUAGCGUAUAUUAAAGUUGUUGUGGUUAAAAAGCUCGUAGUUGAACCUUGGGCCUGGCUGGCCGGUCCGCCUCACCGCGUGUACUGGUCCGGCCGGGCCUUUCCCUCUGUGGAACCUCAUGCCCUUCACUGGGUGUGACGGGGAAGCAGGACUUUUACUGUGAAAAAAUUAGAGUGCUCCAAGCAGGCCUAUGCUCGAAUACAUUAGCAUGGAAUAAUAAAAUAGGACGUGCGGUUCUAUUUUGUUGGUUUCUAGGACCGCCGUAAUGAUUAAUAGGGACAGUCGGGGGCAUCAGUAUUCAAUUGUCAGGGGUGAAAUUCUUGGAUUUAUUGAAGACUAACUACUGCGAAAGCAUUUGCCAAGGAUGUUUUCAUUAAUCAGGAACGAAAGUUAGGGGAUCGAAGACGAUCAGAUACCGUCGUAGUCUUAACCAUAAACGAUGCCGACCGGCGAUCCGCUGUCGUUACUUGAAUGACUCAGCGGGCAGCCUCCA